Molecule: ribosomal RNA, 500 nt
Filed under: uncultured bacterium
Lineage: Bacteria
Description: partial 16S ribosomal RNA
Rfam family: Bacterial small subunit ribosomal RNA
Source: RNAcentral
AUUGAACGCUGGCGGCAUGCUUUACACAUGCAAGUCGAACGGUAACAGGGUGCUUGCACCGCUGACGAGUGGCGAACGGGUGAGUAAUGCGUCGGAACGUGCCGAGUAGUGGGGGAUAACGCAGCGAAAGUUGUGCUAAUACCGCAUACGUACUGAGGUAGAAAGUGGGGGACCUUCGGGCCUCACGCUAUUCGAGCGGCCGACGUCUGAUUAGCUAGUAGGUGAGGUAAAGGCUCACCUAGGCGACGAUCAGUAGCGGGUCUGAGAGGAUGAUCCGCCACACGGGGACUGAGACACGGCCCAGACGCCGACGGGAGGCAGCGGUGGGGAAUUUUGGACAAUGGGCGGAAGCCUGAUCCAGCCAUGCCGCGUGUCUGAAGAAGGCCUUCGGGUUGUAAAGGACCUUUGUCAGGGAGGAAAUCCCUAGUGCUAAUAACACUGGGGGAUGACAGUACCUGAAGAAUAAGCACCGGCUAACUACGUGCCAGCCGCCGCCGUAA